AGAUUGAACGCUGGCGGCAUGCCUUACACAUGCAAGUCGAACGGCAGCACGGGAGCAAUCCUGGUGGCGAGUGGCGAACGGGUGAGUAAUAUAUCGGAACGUGCCCAGUCGUGGGGGAUAACGCAGCGAAAGCUGUGCUAAUACCGCAUACGAUCUAUGGAUGAAAGCGGGGGAUCGCAAGACCUCGCGCGAUUGGAGCGGCCGAUAUCAGAUUAGCUAGUUGGUGGGGUAAAAGCCUACCAAGGCGACGAUCUGUAGCUGGUCUGAGAGGACGACCAGCCACACUGGAACUGAGACACGGCCAGACUCCUACGGGAGGCAGCAGUGGGGAAUUUUGGACAAUGGGGCGAACGACGUC
This 358-nucleotide ribosomal RNA is filed under the name uncultured soil bacterium. RNAcentral describes it as "bacterial SSU rRNA". It matches the Rfam family "Bacterial small subunit ribosomal RNA", at positions 26 to 387 of the family's 1533-position model. The record is from RNAcentral.